AGCGAACGCUGGCGGCAGGCCUAACACAUGCAAGUCGAACGAACCUUUCGGGGUUAGUGGCGGACGGGUGAGUAACACGUGGGAACGUGCCUUUAGGUUCGGAAUAACUCAGGGAAACUUGUGCUAAUACCGAAUGUGCCCUUCGGGGAAAGGUUUUUCGCCUUUAGAGCGGCCCGCGUCUUAUUAGCUAGUUGGUUGAGGUAAUGGCUUACCAAGGCGACGAUUAGUAGCUGGUCUGAGAGGAUGAUCAGCCACAUUGGGACUGAGACACAGCCCAAACUCCUACGGGAGGCAGCAGUGGGGAAUCUUGCGCAAUGGGCGAAAGCCUGACGCAGCCAUGCCGCGUGAAUGAUGAAGGUCUUAGGAUUGUAAAAUUCUUUCACCGGGGACGAUAAUGACGGUACCCGGAGAAGAAGCCCCGGCUAACUUCGUG
RNAcentral lists this ribosomal RNA (433 nucleotides) under uncultured bacterium. RNAcentral describes it as "partial 16S ribosomal RNA". It matches the Rfam family "Bacterial small subunit ribosomal RNA", at positions 29 to 507 of the family's 1533-position model. The record is from RNAcentral.